UACGGGGGGAGCAAGCGUUGUUCGGAUUUACUGGGCGUAAAGGGCGCGUAGGUGGCGCAACAAGUCACUUGUGAAAUCUCCGGGCUUAACCCGGAGCGGCCAAGUGAUACUGUCGUGCUAGAGUGCGGAAGGGGCUACUGGAAUUCUCGGUGUAGCGGUGAAAUGCACAGAUAUAUAGAAGAACAUCAAUAACGGCGAAGGCAGUUAACUAUUCUGUUACUGACACUGAGGCACGAAAGCGUGGGGAGCAAAACGG
RNAcentral lists this ribosomal RNA (256 nucleotides) under uncultured bacterium. RNAcentral describes it as "partial 16S ribosomal RNA". It matches the Rfam family "Bacterial small subunit ribosomal RNA", at positions 524 to 776 of the family's 1533-position model. The record is from RNAcentral.